UGGGAUUCUAGGUCAAUAGGCAGCAAACA
RNAcentral lists this non-coding RNA (29 nucleotides) under Macaca fascicularis (crab-eating macaque). Lineage: Eukaryota; Metazoa; Chordata; Mammalia; Primates; Cercopithecidae. The record is from RNAcentral. RNAcentral also lists the same sequence under 1 other name.